This 479-nucleotide ribosomal RNA is filed under the name uncultured bacterium. RNAcentral's name for it is "partial 16S ribosomal RNA". It matches the Rfam family "Bacterial small subunit ribosomal RNA", at positions 28 to 507 of the family's 1533-position model. The record is from RNAcentral.
GAUGAACGCUGGCGGCGUGCUUAACACAUGCAAGUCGAACGAAGCACUUAAGAUUGAUUCUUCGGAUGACGUCUUUUGUGGCUUAGUGGCGGACGGGUGAGUAACGCGUGGGUAACCUGCCUCACACAGGGGGUUAGCAGUUAAAACUGACUGCUAAUACCGCAUAACCCGAUCAGAUCGAAUGAUCCAGACGGAAAAGAUUUAUCGGUGUGAGAUGGACUCGUGGCUGAUUAGCGAGUUGGUCAGGUAACGGCCCACGAAGGCGACGAUCAGUAGCCGGCAUGAGAGGGGGAACGGCCACAAUGGGACUAAGGCACGGCGCAAACUGCUACGGGGGGCAGCGGGGGGGAAUAUUACACAACGGAGUAAACCGUAAUGCAGCGGCGCUGCGGGAGUUAAGCUGUAUUUAGGUAUGUAUAGCGCUAUCAGCAGGGGAGAAAAUGACGGUACCUGACUAAGAAGCCCCGGCUAACUACGUG